GAUGAACGCUGGCGGCGUGCCUAAUACAUGCAAGUCGAGCGAACAGACGAGGAGCUUGCUCCUCUGACGUUAGCGGCGGACGGGUGAGUAACACGUGGAUAACCUACCUAUAAGACUGGGAUAACUUCGGGAAACCGGAGCUAAUACCGGAUAAUAUAUUGAACCGCAUGGUUCAAUAGUGAAAGACGGUUUUGCUGUCACUUAUAGAUGGAUCCGCGCCGCAUUAGCUAGUUGGUAGGGUAACGGCUUACCAAGGCGACGAUGCGUAGCCGACCUGAGAGGGUGAUCGGCCACACUGGAACUGAGACACGGUCCAGACUCCUACGGGAGGCAGCAGUAGGGAAUCUUCCGCAAUGGGCGAAAGCCUGACGGAGCAACGCUGCGUGAGUGAUGAAGGUCUUCGGAUCGUAAAACUCUGUUAUUAGGGAAGAACAAAUGUGUAAGUAACUAUGCACGUCUUGACGGUACCUAAUCAGAAAGCCACGGCUAACUACGUG
This 497-nucleotide ribosomal RNA is filed under the name uncultured bacterium. RNAcentral describes it as "partial 16S ribosomal RNA". It matches the Rfam family "Bacterial small subunit ribosomal RNA", at positions 28 to 507 of the family's 1533-position model. The record is from RNAcentral.